Molecule: transfer RNA, 73 nt
Filed under: uncultured Verrucomicrobiales bacterium HF4000_13K17
Lineage: Bacteria; Pseudomonadati; Verrucomicrobiota; Verrucomicrobiia; Verrucomicrobiales
Also listed under: 2 other names
Description: tRNA-Ala
Rfam family: tRNA
About the family: Transfer RNA (tRNA) molecules are approximately 80 nucleotides in length.
Source: RNAcentral
GGGGCUGUAGCUCAGUUGGUAGAGCGCCUGCUUUGCAAGCAGGAUGUCAGGAGUUCGAGUCUCCUCUGCUCCA